This 459-nucleotide ribosomal RNA is filed under the name uncultured bacterium. RNAcentral's name for it is "partial 16S ribosomal RNA". It matches the Rfam family "Bacterial small subunit ribosomal RNA", at positions 338 to 795 of the family's 1533-position model. The record is from RNAcentral.
CCUACGGGCGGCAGCAGUAAGGAAUAUUGGUCAAUGGGCGGGAGCCUGAACCAGCCAAGCCGCGUGAAGGAAGAAGGCGCCAGGCGUCGUAAACUUCUUUUGUCGGGGAACAAAGGGCGCCACGCGUGGCGUUGUGAGUGUACCCGAAGAAAAAGCAUCGGCUAACUCCGUGCCAGCAGCCGCGGUAAUACGGAGGAUGCGAGCGUUAUCCGGAUUUAUUGGGUUUAAAGGGUGCGCAGGCGGCCUGUUAAGUCAGCGGUAAAAGCCCGGGGCUCAACCCCGGCGAGCCGUUGAAACUGGCGGGCUGGAGUUGGAGAGAAGUACGCGGAAUGCGCGGUGUAGCGGUGAAAUGCUUAGAUAUCGCGCAGAACCCCGAUUGCGAAGGCAGCUUACCGGCUCCACACUGACGCUGAGGCACGAAAGCGUGGGUAUCGAACAGGAUUAGAUACCCUAGUAGUC